AAUGGGGUGGUUCCAUGGCCCAGAAGCACUCUAGCUACAGAUUAGAAUGAUGACAAGAGUAAUACCUUCCUAGUGAAGAUGACUUUUAUUUCAGGACUAUAUUAAGUUUCCCAACUUCUGUCAUGAUAUAGUCCAAAGAGAACCUGGACCACGCAGACAUCAAACAGAACAUGACACUGACCCAUUCUAUCAGUGACGUUGUGCUGAUUGCACAGGACAGAUGAGAGGCUCGUAUACUAGAAGUCUUGAUAACUUGUUUUCUAGUUUCACAUGUCCACAGAUGAAGAAAAAUUGUGCCCCAGCAAGGAUUAUACCCAGAGCCUCAUCCAUUCAUACCUGAUUUAGAUACUUAGAUGAUGAGUAAUAGAAAAGUCAUAUGAUACUUCAAAAUCUGUGAUUCCAUGAAGCCAAGAGUAGCUCUUCAACAGGAAAUGAAUGAGUGCUUCAGCUUCUGAUCCCAUUAGUAAGAAAAUACAGUCUUAUGAGCAAUGAUGGAGCUGCAUCUCUUAGGGGCAUUUGAUUCCCAAGAGACCAAAGAGCAAAGAGAAUGUCAAUUUAAAAAAAUCAAAUGUUUCCAUGACUUAGCUAUUUAACUGCUUUAAAAUGAAUGAAUGCUGCUUCAAGUUCUUUCAAAUACCCCACAUCUUGGCAACAACGAAAGGAAUUAACAUGAAGAAAAUUUACAAUCUUUCAUCACAUCGAACAAUGUCCCACAUUUGAAAAGUUCACAGCACAGAUUUCUGGUUACUGAAAGAAAGGAAAGACCUUCUUUGGAUUUGAAUAAACAGAUGGACUUUCUUCUC
Molecule: long non-coding RNA, 803 nt
Filed under: Homo sapiens (human)
Lineage: Eukaryota; Metazoa; Chordata; Mammalia; Primates; Hominidae
Description: novel transcript
Source: RNAcentral